Non-coding RNA from Zootermopsis nevadensis, 1424 nucleotides. The record is from RefSeq and is a predicted model, not a curated record. Lineage: Eukaryota; Metazoa; Arthropoda; Insecta; Blattodea; Termopsidae.
GUUUUGCUGCAAAAUGACACCUCAACCGAUUCUGUAAGCUUUCUGAUUAAAUUUCUAUACACUUUCAAAGUUGUAAAGUCCUUUUUGAAUCACCUGGUAGAAUGCAGAUACAAUCCAUUUCUAGCAGCAACAACAGUGCAAGAAGGGCUCCAAUAGCAAUUUCGUUACCUGCGUAGAAUAUAAGAGAUUUCCAGAUAGAAACUACAUAUCUCAUUGUGCAGACUCCAGACUGGCCCCAGUCCAAUAGAAAUUGUUGGUAUCUACGAGCAGAAACAAACCAGCUAUGCCCAGCCAUAAAUAGGAAUCCAACUUGGCAGACAAUGACCGAAGAAGGCAUACAACCCUCUCAACCAGCACAAGGAAACCCAGCCAAUUCUCGCUACCAGCCGUGAUUAGCUCGUCUCCCAAGAUCGCCUGUUACAGUCCUGGUUUUAAUAACCAAUAUCCAAAGACAGAAGGGAAAUUUUUGUUUAUGUUUAGUUAGGUCAGGCCGCUUAUGUUAAACUAGAUUAGACUAGUGACGUUCAUCGCUUGUCAGAGUCGACAAAGAAAACAACCAGCCGAUGGUCCAACUGGUCGACUGAACAACCAGUCGAUUACAAAGCUGACUAACAGCCCGACCAAUUAAACAAGAAACAACCACCAUCCGAGGGGCUGACCGACGAAGGAACCGAAAGAACUGUUGUUUGGUUGCUUAUUCGUGAUUAAGUACGUCUCCUGUUCAGAGAAUCGGCAAUGGAAUGUAGUAAAUACAUGUUUGUGCGUAUGUAUGUUCGCAAGCUUAUACAAGAUGGCGCACGGAAUGAUACCCGAUUCAAAUUUCAUGUUUUUAUGGAUUAUAUGCUCAAUAUUACCACCGUUCAGUCGUGUAACAUUUGAAACCCAAACGGCUACUUCGCGAUCACUCGACGGCCCAUAUCCUUUGUAAUUUUACCACAUAUUUGGACAAUCAAAACCCUGUGAUGCAUUAUUGAAGCAGUUUCUUCUGUGUAGAAUUUGAGGUUUUCAAGGCGGUGAGUCUGAAGAUGGUUUUCUUCUGCUCUGAAACAGUUUGAUUCUUGAGGUAACCCCAGAGGAAGAAGUCGCAUAGGCUUACGCCCGGGUCAAUUAUGCCCACUUUCAUGGCAGCUGAGUAUCGGCAAGGAAUCACACGUGGGCAGAAAGUGUGUGUGAAGUCCAAGACAAAGUGUGCUCUGUGUGGUAUAGAUCCAAUCUUGCAUGAACCACUGUGCAUGUAACGGCUAAUCAGGGUGGCACACAAAUGACACCCUAUUUGUUUUAAAUAUGUGCCGUAGCCGUUCAUAUUUCGGAAGUAACAGGACAUUGCGCAUAUAAUCUAUUAAGGUUAAGUUUCCAUGAUUUGUUGUUUGUUUGUAGGUACAUAUGCACUAUUACAUGAAUAUUAAACCUUUUAUUUAAUCUUU